GUCUGGGAAGCCUAGAUUGAGGACGGAAUCGAACAGUUCCUUUACCAGUGUCGAGAACGAAGCGGUGGCUGGGACAGAGUAGGGAGGGAGAUAAUCUCCGGGGUUUUUGCAGGGUAAUGCAGUGGGUUGAAUGGGAAGAGGCCAUAAAAUGAGCAACAAAAAUGAAAAUAAGUGUAAAAUAAGAGGUCUGAUCCCUGAAAAUAGAGGAAGAUUCAACAAUGGAGGCAAAUGAGAAAAAUAUAUUUGCGACUGCGAAGCGGC
RNAcentral lists this unclassified non-coding RNA (261 nucleotides) under Hevea brasiliensis (rubber tree). Lineage: Eukaryota; Viridiplantae; Streptophyta; Magnoliopsida; Malpighiales; Euphorbiaceae. The record is from RNAcentral.